This 224-nucleotide long non-coding RNA is filed under the name Eucalyptus grandis. Its description in RNAcentral is "long non-coding RNA (EGRA_LNC002343)". The record is from RNAcentral. Lineage: Eukaryota; Viridiplantae; Streptophyta; Magnoliopsida; Myrtales; Myrtaceae.
GCAAAAUCAGCAACUGUUGAAGCAAUAUCAAAGCCGAAAGUUGGAAAUGUAUGUUUGGAGAGGACCUCCAGUCUAUUUGAUAGUAUUUUUGUUUUUUUAUAGCAGCUCCAUGACCUAUUGUCUCCUGUAAUUUUGUUUUUAAGUACUCACUUAUCAAAUUCAAUGUGAUGAAGUUGAACAAUGAACUCUAUUACUUCAUUAUUGUGAUGUUAUAUAUGAAAGGG